CCGGCAAACAGGCCUGUCCCGGACUGCCAGGUGUCAGACGGAGCGACGGGCCGGCCGCAGCCUCAGCCAUGCGUCCCUCGGCGGCGGGCAGGCUCCUCUUGGCCUGCAGCCUUGCUUUCAUGCCCUUCUUCACAGUGUACUCAGCAUGGCAUAAGGAAAGAGCAGACACGGUUCCUGCCCUCAUAUGCUUACAGUCUACAGAACAGUGCUGGGGACACAGUCCUGAGUGUUGCCUCCUGAUCAGCCACUUACUGACUGCCUGGCCUCAGGAAAGCAGCUGAGCUUAUCUGUUCUUAGUCUCCUGGGAGAUUAAGAUGAGUGACCUAGAGGAGAAGGAUGUUGAUGAAUUCAGCUCCAGUGGUUUUAAGUGCCCAACAUGCUUUGCAGUGCAAGGAAGGAAAUGUGAUACAGAACUCAAAUGGUGUGCAGCAGGUAAAGUGUAUUGAAGUCUCUGGCAUCAUAAACACAGGUAUUCGUGACGUAGCCGUUGAAAUGAAGAGAUGCAUACAAGCAGACCUAUGCAAAGAGACGAUAACUUCUUAGAUGGGUUUUCCAAUUGCUAACAAGAGUAGAAAUUGCAAAUCAGCCAUCAGAAACAGGGCCAGAAUCAGACCCCCAUCUCCCAUCUUCUUUGUUCUUUUCCUGGGAAGGGUACUUCAUGGAGCUCUGGCAAGAGCCUAGCCACUUCCAUUUAUGAAUUAAACCUGCAUUUUUUUGUUAA
RNAcentral lists this small RNA (721 nucleotides) under Pongo abelii (Sumatran orangutan). Its description in RNAcentral is "processed transcript". The record is from RNAcentral. Lineage: Eukaryota; Metazoa; Chordata; Mammalia; Primates; Hominidae.